Molecule: ribosomal RNA, 464 nt
Filed under: uncultured bacterium
Lineage: Bacteria
Description: bacterial SSU rRNA
Rfam family: Bacterial small subunit ribosomal RNA
Source: RNAcentral
CCAGACUCCUACGGGAGGCAGCAGUGAGGAAUAUUGGUCAAUGGGCUUACGCCUGAACCAGCCAAGUAGCGUGAAGGAUGACUGCCCUAUGGGUUGUAAACUUCUUUUAUAUGGGAAUAAAACAGGGUAUGCAUACCCUCUUGUAUGUACCAUAUGAAUAAGGAUCGGCUAACUCCGUGCCAGCAGCCGCGGUAAUACGGAGGAUGCGAGCGUUAUCCGGAUUUAUUGGGUUUAAAGGGUGCGCAGGCGGCACGGCAAGCCGGCGGUCAAAUCGCGGGGCUCAACCCCGCCCAGCCGUCGGAACUGCCGGGCUAGAGUGGGCGAGAAGUGCGCGGAAUGCGUGGUGUAGCGGUGAAAUGCAUAGAUAUCACGCAGAACUCCGAUUGCGAAGGCAGCGCACCGGCGCCCUACUGACGCUCAGGCACGAAAGCGUGGGUAUCGAACAGGAUUAGAUACCCUAGUAC